GGAGGUUUGUCUUUAGGUCUUGGCUGAGUAGUGGGGUGAGCCAAGGAAGAUGAAGCCAGAUAACUCUUAGAUGAGUUUGAAUAAUUUUUAGACACAAACCCAAUAGACUCAGAGAGCUUCCUAGUAGGAGGGAAACCCAUGGAGACCCAGACAACAGCUAUAACUCACUCUCCACUUCACGAGCUAACGUCAUAGUUCGAG
Molecule: unclassified non-coding RNA, 201 nt
Filed under: Hevea brasiliensis (rubber tree)
Lineage: Eukaryota; Viridiplantae; Streptophyta; Magnoliopsida; Malpighiales; Euphorbiaceae
Source: RNAcentral